GGGUAAACCUGCGAAACUCGAAUGAACGAACGGAGAGAUUCAUCGUCAUUCCGCGGCGUACGGGCGCGCGUCUCGAUGUCACCGAUCUCGGUCGGGCGGCACGGAUCGCGUUCGUCGACGUCCGCGGACGGCGUGCACUUCUCUCUCAGUAAUACAUCGCGACCCGUUCGAUGUCGGUCUAAGCGCCGUUCGGGAGCCCUGUUGUCCCCAUUGCGGGCGGCAGGACCGUGACGGACGCCGACCGGCUGUCGGACGGUAUGACAAGUGAAUCGCGCACGCGUUAACGCGCGUCCGGCCCGACGCAAGGCAACGUCGUCGCCGAAGUCCUGCCCGAGUGCGGACGUCGGUGCGGCGCGCCUGCUGUUGCUGCCGUGCAGUCUCGGACUGUGCGCGUAUCUGUCUGCGAUGAUUCAGUUUCGGGCACUCGCAGGACCCGUCUUGAAACACGGACCAAGGAGUCUAGCAUGUGUGCGAGUCAUUGAGAUAACAAAACUGAAAGGCGCAACGAAAGUGAAGGCGCGCGCUCGCCGCGCGCUCAGGGAGGAUGGAGCGUCGGUCUAGGUCGACCUCUCGCACUCCCGAGGCGUCUCGUUUCCAAUCCGUGAAUGCAGGCGCGCUCUGAGCACAGAUGCUGGGACCCGAAAGAUG
Molecule: ribosomal RNA, 648 nt
Filed under: Pantoctenia prasina
Lineage: Eukaryota; Metazoa; Arthropoda; Insecta; Lepidoptera; Limacodidae
Description: eukaryotic LSU rRNA
Rfam family: Eukaryotic large subunit ribosomal RNA
Source: RNAcentral